AACGAACGCUGGCGGCAUGCCUAAUACAUGCAAGUCGAACGAGAUCUUCGGAUCUAGUGGCGCACGGGUGCGUAACGCGUGGGAAUCUGCCCUUGGGUUCGGAAUAACUUCUGGAAACGGAAGCUAAUACCGGAUGAUGACGUAAGUCCAAAGAUUUAUCGCCCAAGGAUGAGCCCGCGUAGGAUUAGCUAGUUGGUGGGGUAAAGGCCCACCAAGGCGACGAUCCUUAGCUGGUCUGAGAGGAUGAUCAGCCACACUGGGACUGAGACACGGCCCAGACUCCUACGGGAGGCAGCAGUAGGGAAUAUUGGACAAUGGGCGAAAGCCUGAUCCAGCAAUGCCGCGUGAGUGAUGAAGGCCUUAGGGUUGUAAAGCUCUUUUACCCGGGAUGAUAAUGACAGUACCGGGAGAAUAAGCUCCGGCUAACUCCGUGCCAGCCGCCGCAGUAA
RNAcentral lists this ribosomal RNA (449 nucleotides) under uncultured bacterium. RNAcentral's name for it is "partial 16S ribosomal RNA". It matches the Rfam family "Bacterial small subunit ribosomal RNA", at positions 29 to 523 of the family's 1533-position model. The record is from RNAcentral.